Molecule: ribosomal RNA, 456 nt
Filed under: Neisseria flava
Lineage: Bacteria; Pseudomonadati; Pseudomonadota; Betaproteobacteria; Neisseriales; Neisseriaceae
Description: bacterial SSU rRNA
Rfam family: Bacterial small subunit ribosomal RNA
Source: RNAcentral
AUUGAACGCUGGCGGCAUGCUUUACACAUGCAAGUCGGACGGCAGCACAGAGAAGCUUGCUUCUUGGGUGGCGAGUGGCGAACGGGUGAGUAACAUAUCGGAACGUACCGAGCAGUGGGGGAUAACUAAUCGAAAGAUUAGCUAAUACCGCAUAUUUUCUGAGGAAGAAAGCAGGGGACCAUUUGGCCUUGCGCUGUUUGAGCGGCCGAUAUCUGAUUAGCUAGUUGGUGGGGUAAAGGCCUACCAAGGCGACGAUCAGUAGCGGGUCUGAGAGGAUGAUCCGCCACACUGGGACUGAGACACGGCCCAGACUCCUACGGGAGGCAGCAGUGGGGAAUUUUGGACAAUGGGCGCAAGCCUGAUCCAGCCAUGCCGCGUGUCUGAAGAAGGCCUUCGGGUUGUAAAGGACUUUUGUCAGGGAAGAAAAGGGCGGGGUUAAUACCCCUGUCUGAAGAC